Molecule: ribosomal RNA, 301 nt
Filed under: uncultured bacterium
Lineage: Bacteria
Description: partial 16S ribosomal RNA
Rfam family: Bacterial small subunit ribosomal RNA
Source: RNAcentral
CAGUAGCCGCGGGAAUACAGAGGGUGCGAGCGUUAAUCGGAUUUACUGGGCGUAAAGCGUGCGUAGGCGGCUUCUUAAGUCGGAUGUGACAUCCCUGAGCUUAACUUAGGAAUUGCAUUCGAUACUGGGAAGCUAGAGUAUGGGAGAGGAUGGUAGAAUUCCAGGUGUAGCGGUGAAAUGCGUAGAGAUCUGGAGGAAUACCGAUGGCGAAGGCAGCCAUCUGGCCUAAUACUGACGCUGAGGUACGAAAGCAUGGGGAGCAAACAGGAUUAGAUACCCCUGUAGUCCCUGUCUCUUAUAC